GCAAACAAUUCUCAAAGAAACAUGGCCUGUGGUGUGUCAGCCUCGCUAUAAAGGACUGUUUGAAUCCAGCUCCUAGAGCAGCGUUCCCAGUAUUCAAGAGCAGUUGCAUUCGAAUCACGCAACGAUGUUUGUGUGCUGAUUGCUGGGCUUUUGCUCCGACUAGUCGUCUGCGGAGGCAGGGCUGAGGUCUCUGCAUGUGUAACGUGCCCCGAACACCUAUGGAGACGGGUUUUUUUAAUGAUGAUGAUAGAGCUACCGGCAGAGUUGCUGAUCCGGGUGAGGCAUGACAUCGACUCUUAUAAAGGAUUCCACAGGUUCUGUGAAUGGACACAGAAGGCUGAGAAAUGCUCCAAGAGCUGAAUGCUGAGAGAUCUAUUUUGAUUUGUCAAUGAAUUGCUUGUUAGCAUGGAGGAGGAUAGGCAAACGCGUGAAGCCGCCUUAGAGUAUUUAUUAGGGAGGGAUGGAGGCAACCAGGUGACUGGAAGACUGACUACCAUCACCUCGCCACCUCAAGAAGGCUCACAGUGACAUUUCAAGGACCUUGAUUCUUAACCCUGGCUGCCUUGAGAAUUCUCCAGGAGGCCGCUUUUAAAAUAUACCAGUGCCUGGGCCCUACUCCAGACCAGUUAAAUCAGAACCUAUGGGGGUGGAAUGCGGGUGUGCGUGAGCUCUGAGCUUCUGCUUAUUUUAACAGCUCCUGGGGUGACUCUAGCGUGCAGCCAGCUUAGGCACCAUUGCUCUAUGACACACGAGGCGCUGAGUCACCUGCCAUUGCUGACAUCACAAGCAGUUCGUUGUGCUGCCAGACCCUUAGGGCCCAGUCUUCAGAAGCCAUGAAUGUCUGGCAGGUGUUCCCACCUCUUAAGCCACCAUCAGUAGGUUCUUGCCACCUGCUUUCUUGCCACCGUUGAGUAGCCGUGUGCUGCUCCGAGCAAAGGCCAGAGAGUCACACACCUUACAAAUUUUCCGGUUAGAAUUGGGAAUUUUAGCCUUGUGGAAUUCUGUGAUCGGUGGCUCGGCAACUUUAAUAAAAGAGUCAAGCUCUGCAUUCCGUGCGGGGCGGGGUCGCAAAGUUCGGGGAGCCCAGUCCCCUGGCUCCCGCGGCCAGCAGGGCAGAAACCCUCCCUUCCGUGGCGUGAAAGGCGGCGGCGGGCGCGGGCCCUCCACAGCGGGGUCGCGCCUCUUCCACGUGGCUCCGCGAGCGCUUCUGCCCUUCCGCCCGCCCGCCCUCAGGAGCUCCACCUGCUCAGACGCGAGGCCCGGGCCUCCUGGCAGGAGCAGACCAGGCGGUCGGACUCUUCCGCGACAGCCCACGCGGGCAGUUACCGGGGAAAACAACGGACGAGUCCACGAGCAGCCGCGCUUCUUUUAAGGCGGGACAGCGCUGGCCCGGGGGGACCAAAGCUGAAAACUUGGCUCAGAGCAAGAGCGUCUCGUCCUCCUGCCGCACCCUGUGCUGUCCGUCGGGAGGUGCAAGCCUUGAGGGCCUGAAGGACGUUUUCUGAGCGUUUAAGCAAAGUCUUAGGAGAGGCCCACCGAAAAAAUUAAUUUGUUUAAUAUGGUAGCUGAAAGUACCGAAAUAAGUAAUCACAAAGGAAGGAGAUUUUAUCAGUGUCUGUGGUGGGGGAAGAGGCAUUGUGUUUCUGGAAAGAUCUCAGGAAAUCAGGUUUCCUCCGCGUUGGUUUAGGAGGAGAAAGCAAAGGCGACUGUAUGCAGGGCCGAGCGUGCACAAAGGCAAAGAAGGGCUCAAUCCCAGGCGUUGUCAGGGAACGCAAAUGGCUCAGUGAGUCUGAGGCAGAGACAUACGGAGAGACGUGGAAAAAGAUGAGGACUUGUUAUGAAAUAUGUCCCGCUGCAUAUUGUCCAAUAUCCUGUCCAAAUUCUGGAAAUUUAUUUGACAAUCAGUUGGACUUUUGGCUCCAACUUGAUGUGAUUAACAACUCAAACAAUGCCCUAAAUAAUUACUAAUUAUAUUGCCUUCCAGGUCUUUCCAAAUCAUCAAAAUAGUGCCUAAACCUAAGAUGUCUCAGAAUUAGUUUUCUAUUGGAUGCCUUGUCUAGUCUAUUCCAGCAGAUCAUAGUCUCUGUAUUUCUACUGGCUCUCAAAUAUGUUGACACUUAAUUUUGGAAAUCCCUGGGCUAAUUCUGCGAACUUUGAGGUGACUUUCGGCAGAUUAGGGGACUCUUUAAGCACUGCCAGGGUCCCCUCUGAACUUAAUGUUUGAAAUCUGGUAUCGAAACAGAUCCACUCGGAUCUACAGAGUAGAAAAAAAUAUUUGAUAACUAAAAAAGUGCAGAAAUAUGACAUCUGGUGAAAAUUUCCAGGACUUUGAAUCUGUGUCCUGUUCAGACCAUGGUCGUUACAUGCAUCAUUCCAACCAAUGCUCCCUGUGACCUUACAAACCACGGAAGACGCCAAGCUUGUGAGGUCUGUUUUCUGGGACCUCAGAAAUGUAAACCUAGCCUUGGCGCAUCUACAGCUUAUUCUAUUACAGGUGAAGAAGCAGGCACUGUUAUAAAUGAAGAUAAAGGGCAGAUUAAGCUCAUUUUGAAAACACUGAUUAUAUUCUAAACUUGCUUUUGUUUUUAUCUUUUUCUUGGUUAAUUUUAGCCCCAACGCAAAUGUCUUAGGUUUUGAGCAAAAACCGUUUCAUUAAAAUUUUGUAAGACUAUAAGCAGACAUUUUUACACUACAAUAAAAUCAAAAUUGUCCAAGGGAGUUUAUUGAAUAAAAUAUAAAAUGAUUAUUUAGAAUGUGUUAAAUUGGGAAAAUAUUAAGGUGUACAAAACACAAUACUAUGUAUUUAUGUAUUUAUUUAUGUAUGUAUAUAUUUAUUUAUUUAUGAGAGACACAGAAGAGAGAAACAGAGACAUAGGCAGAGAGAGAAGUAGGCUCCAUGCAGGGAGCCCGAUGUGGGACUCGAUCCUGGGACUCCAGGAUCAUGUCCUGGACCGAAGGCACAUGCUCAACCGCUGAGCCACCCAAGUGUCCCUGAUUUACCUUCUAAAGUUGAUGCUACAGAUACCAUAAAACUUACCAAUACUGCUUCUAAGUUUCUACACAGCUGAAAUACAUUUCACACAUGCACCAAGAGACAUGUAUGUGCAAGUGUGUUUAUAGCAGCAUUUUUCAUUAUAGUAAAAAAGCUAAAAGGUAAAAGGUAAAAAUAGUACUAUUGACUUCCAGCAGAAUGGAUAGACAGUGGUAUGUUCAAUGUCAAUGAAUAUGAAUAAACUAUGGUUACACCCAGUAAUGUCACAAACAUAAUGUUGAGCCAGACGCAAUACAUAUUGUAUAAUUCCAUUUCUAUGGAUUUCUCUCUAUAUAUUUAAAAACAGCUCAAAUCACAGUGUUUGGGUAUGUCUGCUUAGGUGAUUAAAAAUAUAAAGAGAAGUGAAGAUUUCCAUAGAAGUCAGUAAACUGGUUUACUGCCUACUUGUAUCAGACCACCUGCCCUAAACCUACUGAAAUUAAUUACUGGGAUUGGACAGAAAUCUGCAUUUUAAAAUUACACCCUCAGUUGACUCAUCUAUUGCAGGUAAGGAGAAGAAAAAAGCAGAGUGGGCCAGCAGCCCCUGCCUCAGGGAUGAUUAGGGCUAGUUUGUUGGCUGAAUGCACAUCCAGGAGCAUUUUGGGACUGUCUAGGCUGACAUCAAUUCUGCUCUUCUACUUCAUACCACGAUUCCAGGUCUCAGGAGCUUGGAGACCCUCUUAUGCCCUUAAUCAGAGACCAAAAACAAUGUGGUGAACUCUAGAAAUUGAGGACUGUCCAUUCCAUACAAAAUAAUGGUGCCUCCCACCAAGACCCUACUUGCCUCAAAAGAAUAUCACAUCUGGAUUUGGGGAAACCCAGCUAGAGAUGUGUUUCGAAGGACAGACACAACAUCUGUAAGUCCCUGAAUUACUCCUCUGCUACUCUGUUCUACACUUUCCUGGGAAAUCAGCACAAUUGCUGCGAUAUUUCCUGUUCCAUUCAUAGCACUUAGCUUAUUCUGAAAACAACUACCUAGAGAAAGACCCACAAAUCCUGUUAAAACAAUUAUGAACUUCACGUUUGAGCUUUUCAUGUAUAAAAGCUGAACAUUUUGCCCUUUUAUGACAAAACGGAAGAAACAAAUCACCAAAGACAAUGAGAAAAUCCAACUCGGGUUGAUUUCAUGGGAGUUCAGGGUUAUGGCUGGGAGUGUAGAACAAGGAGAAGAGAAGAAGCAAGAGUUUACGAAGCCAAAUGAGAAGAGGAGUGAAAAUUCCUCUAAGUAUGUAGGCUGUGGCUUAUAGAUCCAUGAACUCAUUACUUGUUUCUUCUACUUGCUACAGGAUAUCAUCACCUAACUCUUCUGCCUUCAAUCCCAUAGUCUGUAGGGCCGACUCCCGAGAGAGCACAGAUGCUAAGGGACUAUUUCCUCAAAUAAUGAAUUCUUUUAAAAAUUCACAUGAUGUCAAGCACAGUGUGAGUCACCAACUUCUCCUCUUUCCCAUGCACACCAAAUUCUGUUUGGUGGUUUUUCUCCAGCACCUCCAAAUUAUGAAAAACCAUGUAUGAGAAGUAAAAAACCAGCAUCUAAGAACCUGAUAAACUACCAUCUACGAAAGAAAGACUUGCUGAAGACUGUAAGAAUCUUUUUGCUUGUCAUCCAACAGUGGAUCCCUGGGGUAGUGUCAACUCGCAUAUUUAGAAGAAGUGCUACUAAAUUUUAUCCGUGCAGCCCAUUUCCUGUGGAUGUCUCUGGCUAACAGGAACUGGUCCAGGCACAGCAAUAGCAGGCAUGGUGUGAAGACAGACUUGAUGCACCAAAGAAUGAGUUAUAUCCAAAGUGAUAUGGAAAAUUGGUUUGGAGUGUGGCUGAGGAUUGUAAUGUCAGCAGUUUAUGCUUCUCCUCUUUGAAGGCAUGUGGGUUAGGGAAAGGAAAAAGGGAAUUCAGUUUUCAUCCCCAGUCGGUCACUGAAACUGACACCUCAAGGAUCACCGAGGACCAUCAAAUUGCUCUGCCCAAUGACCAAUGUCAGCAACAUUUGCAUUUCCUGUUUUAUAGACUCCCCCAGCUAUCAAGAAAGAAUUCUGAAUAGGAUAUCUGCUACCUCCUAAAGAAGAGGUCUUGCUUGAUAACUUGAGACCAUUCAGACCUCAGACAAGGAAAGAAUGUACCCCUCAGGCCCCACAGUCAUCACCCUUUAUUUACCCCCAGGGACUGCUUUAGGGAUACUUGCUUUGUUAGUUAAUGGUAGUUCUUUGCAAAAAUAAACCUCCUUUUGUGUAGGACUUUUCUGUUUUGAGACAGUGGGAUAAGUAAGAAUGUUGGUGGGGUCUCUGGAAUAUCUGUGGUUCAUGGCUCUUCAGAAUGGGGUCUGAAUCCCCAAGGGCAUUCUUUUAUUCCAUGGAUUGUACCCAAAGGUUCCAAGGCACCAUUGAGAAGGAUUCCAGUUUUACAUUCUGUCUUCUGCAAGCACGAUGUAGUCACCCAGUUGCUCUCUCCUUUCAUCUCUCCCUCCCUUUUGUAGACUAGAGCUCCUCUUGGGUCUCCUUCUUCCCCAGACUGAAAGCCACAGGUGGGAGUGGGGUGGGGUGGGGGGACUUGAGUUCUGUUUCAGCGGCUCAUGAGAUGUGCCUUCUCCUUUAAAUUGUUCACAAGCCCCGCAUCAGCUUUGGCGGGUAGGAGUUCUAACAUGAUGCUUCAUGUGGAGGAGCUCCGGCAAGGUGCCCUACCUACUGUGGGUCUUCUGGCUGGAUCCCUGAGCACCAGCCCACAGGAAGGGGAGCAGAGAAAGUGCGGGGAACAACCCUGGUUCUCCAUCAAGGAAGGCAGCUGAGGACCAGGACCGGGCUUGGCAGAGGAAGGCCCACCCACCAGCCCAUCGCUAAUGAAGGAGGAGGGAGGGAGGCAGCUGCUAUCCAGAGUCCAGAGACAUUAUUAAAACGGCUGUGACCCGGGGUGCCCUUGUCAACUCAGUCCAUGGCUCACUUCGAUCCAAGCGGUCAUUCACUUUCAGCAGCACACAGAUUCUUGGUGAAGGACAUCUGUGCACAGGUAAUGCAACCUCAUACUUCAGGACAGCCAGCUAAAGAGAACUUAAAACUAAAUCUUUCAUAAUCUAAAAUGACACCAAAUGAUAAAUUGAGACUAUAAAAAUUACCCAUUGUCUUGCUGCCUCAAUAUAAACGUCAUAUUUUUGAUAUACUUCUUUUUAUAUUUUUUAGAAGUAAGCAUAUCUGUUUUAAAAUUGUUGCCAUUAAUUGCAUAGUAGUUAAGAAUAAGGACUUCAGAUCCAGAAUACCUGAGUUUGAAUGCUGCCCGUACCACUUAAUGGCUGAACGACUUAAGACAAGGGAUUUAAUUUAGUGCCUCAACGAUCUCAUCUUAAAAAUGGGGAUAAUAUCAGCAGCUUCAUAUGUUUGUUGUAAGGGUUAAAUGGGUUUUUAUACAUACAGCACCAAGAACAAUGCCUAGCUCAUUGCAAACAUUAUAGAAUGCAUUAUUAUUAUAAAAUAUAACAUAAGUAAUGAUAACAAUAAUGAACACUUCGUGUUUUCCCAUGCUGUUUUAUAUACCCGGCACAUAGUUGACUCUCAAAAAAUUUAUGAAAGUAAUUAUAAAGGGGAUCCCUGGGUGGCU
This is an RNA transcript of Canis lupus familiaris (dog), 6611 nucleotides long. It is a transcript of the gene named chromosome 15 C4orf51 homolog, with no coding region annotated. The transcript has 12 exons. The record is from RefSeq and is a predicted model, not a curated record. Lineage: Eukaryota; Metazoa; Chordata; Mammalia; Carnivora; Canidae.